Molecule: ribosomal RNA, 474 nt
Filed under: Pristipomoides filamentosus (crimson jobfish)
Lineage: Eukaryota; Metazoa; Chordata; Actinopteri; Lutjaniformes; Lutjanidae
Description: partial 12S ribosomal RNA
Rfam family: Bacterial small subunit ribosomal RNA
Source: RNAcentral
AAAAAGCUUCAAACUGGGAUUAGAUACCCCACUAUGCCCAGUCUUAAACACAGACGGGGCAAUACGUACCCGUUCGCCUGGUAACUACGAGCUCACCAAAUUUCAAGCUUAAAAGCCAAAGGACUUGGCGGUGCUUCAAACCCCCCUAGAGGAGCCUGUUCUAUAACCGAUAAUCCCCGUUAAACCUCACCCUUCCCAGCCCAUUCCAGCUUAUAUACCGCCGUCGUCAGCUUACCCCGUGAGGGUCUUUUUCAUAUCAAAAGUAGGCGCAACUGGUUUACCCCCCAGCAAGUCAGGUCGAGGUGUAGCAUAAGGAAGGGGAAGAAAUGGGCUACAUUCUCUAAUGCAGAGAACACAGCGGAUCGUCCUGAAGCAAGACAUCCAAAGGUGGAUUUAGCAGUAAGAGGGGAGCAGAGUGCCCCUCUGAAGACGGCCCUGAAGUGCGUACACACCGCCCGUCACCCUCUGCAGUCA